RNAcentral lists this ribosomal RNA (396 nucleotides) under uncultured bacterium. Its description in RNAcentral is "partial 16S ribosomal RNA". It matches the Rfam family "Bacterial small subunit ribosomal RNA", at positions 523 to 918 of the family's 1533-position model. The record is from RNAcentral.
AUACGUAUGGAGCAAGCGUUAUCCGGAUUUACUGGGUGUAAAGGGAGCGUAGACGGUGAGGCAAGUCUGAUGUGAAAGGUGUGGGCUCAACCCGCAAACUGCAUUGGAAACUGUCCCGCUUGAGUGUCGGAGAGGUAAGUGGAAUUCCUAGUGUAGCGGUGAAAUGCGUAGAUAUUAGGAGGAACACCAGCGGCGAAGGCGGCUUACUGGACGAUAACUGACGUUGAGGCUCGAAAGCGUGGGGAGCAAACAGGAUUAGAUACCCUGGUAGUCCACGCCGUGAACGAUGAAUACUAGGUGUUGGGGACCAAAGGUCUUCGGUGCCGCAGCAAACGCAAUAAGUAUUUCACCUGGGGAGUACGUUCGCAAGAAUGAAACUCAAAUGAAUUGACGGGG